CCUACGGGUGGCAGCAGUGGGGGAUAUUGCACAAUGGGGGGAACCCUGAUGCAGCGACGCCGCGUGGGUGAAGAAGCGCCUCGGCGCGUAAAGCCCUGUCAGCAGGGAAGAAAAUGACGGUACCUGAAGAAGAAGCCCCGGCUAACUACGUGCCAGCAGCCGCGGUAAUACGUAGGGGGCAAGCGUUAUCCGGAUUUACUGGGUGUAAAGGGGGCGCAGACGGCGAUGCAAGCCAGGAGUGAAAGCCCGGGGCCCAACCCCGGGACUGCUCUUGGAACUGCGUGGCUGGAGUGCAGGAGGGGCAGGCGGAAUUCCUGGUGUAGCGGUGAAAUGCGUAGAUAUCAGGAGGAACAUCGGUGGCGUAAGCGCUUUACUGGGCCGUAAUUGACGCUGAGGAACGAAAGCCAGGGUAGCAAAUGGGAUUAGAUACCCCAGUAGUC
RNAcentral lists this ribosomal RNA (440 nucleotides) under uncultured bacterium. Its description in RNAcentral is "partial 16S ribosomal RNA". It matches the Rfam family "Bacterial small subunit ribosomal RNA", at positions 338 to 795 of the family's 1533-position model. The record is from RNAcentral.